This 253-nucleotide ribosomal RNA is filed under the name uncultured bacterium. RNAcentral describes it as "partial 16S ribosomal RNA". It matches the Rfam family "Bacterial small subunit ribosomal RNA", at positions 524 to 776 of the family's 1533-position model. The record is from RNAcentral.
UCCGAAGGGGGCUAUCGUUGUUCGGAAUAACUGGGCGUAAAGCGCACGUAGGCGGAUUUGUAAGUCAGGGGUGAAAUCCCGGGGCUCAACCUCGGAACUGCCUUUGAUACUGCAAGUCUAGAGUACGGAAGAGGUGAGUGGAAUUCCUAGUGUAGAGGUGAAAUUCGUAGAUAUUAGGAAGAACACCAGUGGCGAAGGCGGCUCACUGGUCCGGAACUGACGCUGAGGUGCGAAAGCGUGGGGAGCAAACAGG